This 274-nucleotide ribosomal RNA is filed under the name uncultured bacterium. Its description in RNAcentral is "partial 16S ribosomal RNA". It matches the Rfam family "Bacterial small subunit ribosomal RNA", at positions 523 to 796 of the family's 1533-position model. The record is from RNAcentral.
AUACGGAGGUUGCAAGCGUUACUCGGAAUCACUGGGCGUAAAGCGCGCGCAGGCGGCUAUUUAAGUUGGAUGUGAAAGCCUACGGCUCAACCGGAGAACUGCAUCCAAAACUAUUUAGCUAGAGUGUGAGAGAGGAAGAUGGAAUUAGUUGUGUAGGGGUAAAAUCCGUAGAGAUAACUAGGAAUACCAAAAGCGAAGGCAAUCUUCUGGAACACUACUGACGCUGAGGCGCAAAAGCGUGGGGAGCAAACAGGAUUAGAAACCCCUGUAGUCC